RNAcentral lists this ribosomal RNA (530 nucleotides) under Arthrobacter sp. by2. RNAcentral's name for it is "bacterial SSU rRNA". It matches the Rfam family "Bacterial small subunit ribosomal RNA", at positions 126 to 668 of the family's 1533-position model. The record is from RNAcentral. Lineage: Bacteria; Bacillati; Actinomycetota; Actinomycetes; Micrococcales; Micrococcaceae.
CUGCCCUUAACUUCGGGAUAAGCCUGGGAAACCGGGUCUAAUACCGGAUACGACGGACCGCCGCAUGGUGGUCCGUGGAAAGCUUUAUGCGGUUUUGGAUGGACUCGCGGCCUAUCAGCUAGUUGGUUGGGGUAACGGCCCACCAAGGCGACGACGGGUAGCCGGCCUGAGAGGGUGACCGGCCACACUGGGACUGAGACACGGCCCAGACUCCUACGGGAGGCAGCAGUGGGGAAUAUUGCACAAUGGGCGAAAGCCUGAUGCAGCGACGCCGCGUGAGGGACGAAGGCCUUCGGGUUGUAAACCUCUUUCAGCAGGGAAGAAGCGAAAGUGACGGUACCUGCAGAAGAAGCGCCGGCUAACUACGUGCCAGCAGCCGCGGUAAUACGUAGGGCGCAAGCGUUAUCCGGAAUUAUUGGGCGUAAAGAGCUCGUAGGCGGUUUGUCGCGUCUGCUGUGAAAGCCCGGGGCUCAACCCCGGGUCUGCAGUGGGUACGGGCAGACUAGAGUGCAGUAGGGGAGACUGGAAUU